This 1320-nucleotide ribosomal RNA is filed under the name uncultured Spirochaetota bacterium. RNAcentral describes it as "uncultured Spirochaetes bacterium 16S ribosomal RNA". It matches the Rfam family "Bacterial small subunit ribosomal RNA". Lineage: Bacteria; Pseudomonadati; Spirochaetota. The record is from RNAcentral.
AGAGUUUGAUUCUGGCUUAGAACAACGCUGGCGGCGCGUUUUAAGCAUGCAAGUCGAGCGGCAAGGUCCGCCCUAGAGCGGCGGACGGGUGAGUAACACGUGGACAAUCUGCCCCCCGGCCGGGGAUAGCCCAGGGAAACCUGGAUUAAUACCGGAUGACGGGACGCACGAUGGUGCGGUCCGGGAAAGGCGCUGCGGCGCCGCCGGGGGAUGAGUCCGCGACCCAUUAGCUGGACGGCGGGGUAAAGGCCCACCGUGGCGACGAUGGGUAGCCGGCCUGAGAGGGUGGACGGCCACAUUGGAACUGAGACACGGUCCAGACUCCUACGGGAGGCAGCAGCUAAGAAUCUUCCGCAAUGGGCGAAAGCCUGACGGAGCGACGCCGCGUGAACGAGGGUGAUUGAGUUCUUUUCGGGAGGGGGAAUAAUCCCGGAACAAGCCCCGGCAACUACGUGCCAGCAGCCGCGGUAACACGUAGGGGGCGAGCGUUGUUCGGAAUCAUUGGGCGUAAAGGGCGUGCAGGCGGCACUGCAAGUCCGGCGUGAAAGACCCCGGCCCAACCGGGGGGGUGCGCUGGAAACUGCGGUGCUUGAGUACAGGAGGGGAUGCCGGAAUUCCAGGUGUAGGGGUGAAAUCUGUAGAUAUCUGGAAGAACACCGAUGGCGAAGGCAGGCAUCUGGCCAGUACUGACGCUGAGACGCGAAGGUGCGGGGAGCAAACAGGUUUAGAUACCCUGGUAGUCCGCACAGUAAACGAUGUGCACCAGGUGGCGGGGGUAGAACCCCCGGUACCGUAGCAAACGCAUUAAGUGCACCGCCUGGGGAGUAUGCUCGCAAGGGUGAAACUCAAAGGAAUUGACGGGGGCCCGCACAAGCGGUGGAGCAUGUGGUUUAAUUCGAUGGUACGCGAGAAACCUUACCAGGGCACAUAACCGGAAGCGCCGUGAAAGCGGCGUGCUUGCCGGUAAGGUGCUGCAUGGCUGUCGUCAGCUCGUGCUGUGAAGUGUUGGGUUAAGUCCCGCAACGAGCGCAACCCCUGCCGUCUGUUGCCACCACGAAAGGUGGGGACUCAGGCGGGACCGCCGGUGACAAACCGGAGGAAGGUGGGGACGACGUCAAGUCAUCAUGGCCCUUAUGUCCUGGGCCACACACGUGCUACAAUGGCCGGUACAGAGCGCAGCGAGGCCGCGAGGCGGAGCGAUCGCUUAAAGCCGGUCCCAGUACGGAUUGGAGUCUGCAACCCGACUCCAUGAAGUUGGAAUCGCUAGUAAUCGCGCAUCAGCAUGGCGCGGUGAAUACGUUCCCGGGCCUUGUACACACC